This 450-nucleotide ribosomal RNA is filed under the name uncultured bacterium. Its description in RNAcentral is "bacterial SSU rRNA". It matches the Rfam family "Bacterial small subunit ribosomal RNA", at positions 29 to 523 of the family's 1533-position model. The record is from RNAcentral.
AACGAACGCUGGCGGCAUGCCUAACACAUGCAAGUCGAACGAGACCUUCGGGUCUAGUGGCGCACGGGUGCGUAACGCGUGGGGAUCUGCCCUUUGCUUCGGAAUAACAGUUAGAAAUGACUGCUAAUACCGGAUGAUGACUUCGGUCCAAAGAUUUAUCGGCAAAGGAUGAACCCGCGUAGGAUUAGCUAGUUGGUGGGGUAAAGGCCUACCAAGGCGACGAUCCGUUAGCUGGUCUGAGAGGAUGAUCAGCCACACUGGGACUGAGACACGGCCCAGACUCCUACGGGAGGCAGCAGUGGGGAAUAUUGGACAAUGGGCGAAAGCCUGAUCCAGCAAUGCCGCGUGAGUGAUGAAGGCCUUAGGGUUGUAAAGCUCUUUUACCCGGGAUGAUAUAGACAGUACCGGGAGAAUAAGACUCGGCUAACUCCGUGCCAGCAGCCGCGGUAA